GUCGAGAAUCUUCCGCAAUGCGCGAAAGCGUGACGGAGCGACACCGCGUGAUGGAUGAAGUCCUUCGGGGCGUAAACAUCUUUUAUAAAGGAGGAAAUUUUUGACGUUACUUUAUGAAUAAGGGGCUCCCAAUCUCGUGCCAGCAGGAGCGGUAAUACGAGAGCCUCAAGCGUUAUCCGGAAUCAUUGGGCGUAAAGGGUGCGUAGGUGGUUCGAUUAGUCUCCCGUUAAAACUUCGAGCUUAACUCGAAAAGAGCGGGGGAAACGGUCAAACUAGAGUAUGUGAGAGGUGUGUGGAACUCAUGGUGUAGGGGUGAAAUCCGUUGAUAUCAUGGGGAACACCAAAAGCGAAGGCAGCACACUGGCACAUCACUGACACUGAGGCACGAAACCUAAGGUAGCGAAUGGGAUUAGAAACCCCAGUAGUCC
This 428-nucleotide ribosomal RNA is filed under the name uncultured bacterium. RNAcentral's name for it is "bacterial SSU rRNA". It matches the Rfam family "Bacterial small subunit ribosomal RNA", at positions 354 to 796 of the family's 1533-position model. The record is from RNAcentral.